This 424-nucleotide ribosomal RNA is filed under the name uncultured bacterium. RNAcentral's name for it is "bacterial SSU rRNA". It matches the Rfam family "Bacterial small subunit ribosomal RNA", at positions 359 to 774 of the family's 1533-position model. The record is from RNAcentral.
GCAUAUUGGACAAUGGGGGGAACCCUGAUCCAGCCAUGCCGCGUGUGUGAAGAAGGCCUUUUGGUUGUAAAGCACUUUAAGCGAGGAGGAGGCUACUCUAGUUAAUACCUAGAGAUAGUGGCCGUGACUCGCAGCAUAAGCACCGGCCAACUCUGUGCCAGCAGCCGCGGUAAUACAGAGGGUGCAAGCGUUAAUCGGAUUUACUGGGCGUAAAGCGCGCGUAGGUGGCCAAUUAAGUCAAAUGUGAAAUCCCCGAGCUUAACUGGGGAAUUGCAUUCGAGACUGGUUGGCUAGAGUAUGGGAGAGGAUGGUAGAAUUCCAGGUGUAGCGGUGAAAUGCAUAGAGAUCUGGAGGAAUACCGAUGGCGAAGGCAGCCAUCUGGCCUAAUACUGACACUGAGGUGCGAAAGCAUGGGGAGCAAACA